Molecule: ribosomal RNA, 423 nt
Filed under: Glycine max (soybean)
Lineage: Eukaryota; Viridiplantae; Streptophyta; Magnoliopsida; Fabales; Fabaceae
Description: eukaryotic LSU rRNA
Rfam family: 5.8S ribosomal RNA (bases 4-124)
Source: RNAcentral
AAAAUAAAGAACGUAGCGAAAUGCGAUACUUGGUGUGAAUUGCAGAAUCCCGUGAACCAUCGAGUCUUUGAACGCAAGUUGCGCCCGAAGCCAUUAGGCCGAGGGCACGCCUGCCUGGGUGUCACACAUCGUUUCCCCAACGCAAACAUGUAACAAUGUUGCUGCGCGGGGUGUAUGCUGACCUCCCGCGAGCACCCGCCUCGUGGUUGGUUGAAAUCUGGGUUCAUGGCCGACUUCGCCGUGAUAAAAUGGUGGAUGAGCCACGCUCGAGACCAAUCACGUGCGAGCCGGUCAGUUCUGGACCCAUCGACGACCCUUUGCGUGCACGCACGCUCCCAACGAGACCUCAGGUCAGGCGGGGCUACCCGCUGAGUUUAAGCAUAUCAAUAAGCGGAGAAAGACCCGGUUUCCCCGAAUUGCCUG